GCGGUCGUGGCGGAAUGGCAGACGCGCUGUCUUGAGGGGGCAGUGUCCGUAUGGAUGUGUGGGUUCAAAUCCCAUCGGCCGCA
This 83-nucleotide transfer RNA is filed under the name Fundicoccus ignavus. It matches the Rfam family "tRNA". From Rfam's summary of the family: Transfer RNA (tRNA) molecules are approximately 80 nucleotides in length. The record is from Rfam by way of RNAcentral. Lineage: Bacteria; Bacillati; Bacillota; Bacilli; Lactobacillales; Aerococcaceae.